CCCCUGAAUCUCCGCAGCGCCGUCGCCAGCACCUCCUCCCCGAGCCUGAGCAGGGGCCUCUCUGUGACAGGUCCGCGUCUCACAGUCCAGAGUCUGGAUUCACGUCGUGUCCAAGAGGGACCCCCAGAGGACCGCCCGCGGGCGGUCAGGCUGGGGUUUUGGAAGGGCCGCUCUGCAGCCGUCUGGAGGCAGGGAGACGACGCAGGAGACGGGUACAGGAGUCCAGGGAGGGACGGCAAGGGCCUGCACCGUGGCAGGGAGAGACGCGUGUGCCCUGGGGCCCCGGGGGCGGUGACAGUGAUGACGUAUGAGGAGGGAAGCAAGGAGCCAGAGCAGACGGGAAGGCGGAGGCGAGUACUCACAGCCAGCCAGCACGCAACGACCUUGGCCCUUCCUCACCAGGAGGUUUGCCCAGCAGACGCCCUGGAUUCUUGCAAAGCUUACGCGUACAGAAAGGAGGGGCCUACGGUGGACACGCCCCAGCUGUUACUCCGGUGCAGAGCAGGGUCCUCUCCUGAUACUGGGGAAACAGGCUGUGCUUUCCGAGAGAAAAGCCUGGAGAGCCCUGAGGAGUCGCACGGCACAUGCGGACACGCUGCCCUCGGCGCAGGCACUGCACGUGGUGUGGACUAUAGCCAUGGCUCCCUCACCGCCCCAGCGCCCACACUGCGCUGCACACAGGAUGGCUGCUAGACAUGGUGGCUUGUAGGCGCCCCUCCAGCUCACACAUGGCUAUCUCUAAAGGACUAAAUCAGGCUUAACUUCGGGGACAGCCACUGAAGCAGGGAAGAUGCAAUCUCCCUGCUCGUCCAUGCUCCCCCUCACAAAGCCCACGGAGCAACGCAAUUGGAACUCAGACCUCCGACCUGUCCACCGGCUGCGGUAGAGCCUCCACCAGGCCGCGCCCUGAUGCCUGGCAGAGCAGGGCCCACCAGGAGAGAAGACAGCAGAGACGGGACAUGCUAGCUUCCUCCCUCUGCCUGGAGGCAUUCCACUCCACUGUCCUUGGAAGACAAGAGGGACAGUGUGGGGGAGAAACGCGUCUGCCAGCCACCAGAGGCAACACGGCCACUGUCCUGGUGACUCGCCAUUUCAGCGCUGACUUUGGGCUGCUUUUAACACCCAGCGGCCUUCGUUAUAAACGAAUUUCAUUCCCAAAAGAUCAUUAGAAUUCAGAAGUCUAUGAACAGGGAAGGAGAUUUGGCCCAGUGGUUAGGGCGUUUGCCUACCACAUGGGAGGUCCAGGGUUCAAACCCCGGGCCUCCUUGACCCGUGUGGAGCUGGCCCAUGCGCAGUGCUGAUGGCGCAAGGAGUGCCCUGCCACGCAGGGGUGUCCCCCGCGUAGGGGAGCCCCACGUGCAAGGAGUGCGCCCCAUGAGGAGAGCCGCCCAGCACGAAAGAAAGUGCAGCCUGCCCAGGAAUGGCGUCACACACACGGAGAGCUGACACAGCAAGAUGACACAAAAAGAGACAGAUUCCCAGUGCCACUGACAAAAAUACAAGCGAACACAGAAAAACACACAGAGAUUGGACACACAGAGCAGACAACGGGGAGGGAGGGAAGGAGGGGAAGGGGAGAGAAAUACAUAAAUAAUAAAUCUUUAAAAAAAAAAAAAAGUCUAUGAACUGGGAUUCCUCCAAAUAAGGAAACUGCCCAUGGACCUUGGGCACUGAAAUCUUUCCAGCUAUGGGCAGGAGAGAGAGUGUACUUUCAACGUGGCAAACAAAAUUAAGCCUUUAAGCCAAUCAUUUCUAGAGAAAUCACCAGACUUUUAGUGUAAUAGGUCACAGGGCUCAGCAUGCUGCUUUCGGUUAAAGCUUUGACCUGUUCAAAGGACUCUGCACAUCCAGAUCUUUUGUCAUCAAUCUGCAGUUUACCAAUUUCAGUGAACACCAUGGAUGCCUAUGGUGUCAGCGUAAAAACAAUAAAUAAAAUCAACGUUAAGAAUCUGCCUGCAAAGACAGUGUGAUUUAAUGACAUGAUAAUGUAAAUAAAAUAAAACAAGACCUUGGAGUCAAUCAGACCUCAGUUUGAAUUCCAGCUUUGGUAGCUGUGUAAUUAAGGUCAAUAUAUUUAUUCUCUUUGAGCCCUAGUUUUCUCAUUGGUAAAAUGGGGAUGGUUACACCUGUCCCCUGGGACUUGAUUUUCUUACAAAAGUUAAAGGAAAUAAUGUUUAAAAGUACCAAGCACCAUCACUGAUACAUAAUAUGUAUUUAGUAAACACUAGUGCCCUUUGCUGUAAAAAUUUGAAAAGCACUACAUCAUCGUUGUGAAGUAGCAUCAUUCUGCACAUUUGCAGAGGAGUUAACCAAAAUGGGAGGAAAAUGGAUUCAAGANNNNNNNNNNNNNNNNNNNNNNNNNNNNNNNNNNNNNNNNNNNNNNNNNNNNNNNNNNNNNNNNNNNNNNNNNNNNNNNNNNNNNNNNNNNNNNNNNNNNCGUGUGUGCAGCACCAUUCCUGGGCAGGCUGCACUUUCUUUUGCGCUGGGCGGCUCUCCUUCCGGGGCGCACUUGCGCGUGGGGCUCCCCCACGCGGGGACACCCCUGCGUGGCACGGCACUCCUUGCGCACAUCAGCACUGCGCACGGGCCAGCUCCACACGGACCUCCCACAUGGUAGGCGGAAGCCCUAACCGCUGGGCCAAGUCCGCAUCUCACAUGUACAUCUUGAUUCAUGAUAUGGUGAGAGAACAGAAGACUUAAACGGCUUUUAAAGAGCUUACAUCCAGGACAGGGGGACAAAAUGUUCAUAUGCAAACACUCAGCCACAUAAAAACCAUAACACAACCCUACUGAGCACUCACAAUGUGCCAAUCCUCACAGACCAUUUGAGGAGUAUGGUCUCAUCUGAUCCUGGUAACGACCCGAUUAGGUAGUUACUGUUAUUCUGCAUUUUGCAGAUGAGUAAAUUUGGGCGUAGCAAGGUUAAGCAACUCACCAGGCCGCAGGGUUCACACGUGGCUUUGAACUCCAGCAGUCUGACUCUAUAAACACUGGAAUGGUCAGACUAGUUACAGCGACCUCACAGGAGAGCCCAGAGAAAGAGCAAGGUGCAGUGGGAUUAGUGUGAAAAGCUUUCUUGGAGAACCUGAGUUGGGCCUUAAAGGAAAAAUGGGAUUUGCACUGGCAGAAGGGAGGGGAGAGGAAGCAGGGUGAGGAUCCUACUCCAGGAGGAAUCUCCUGCUGGAACCUCCGAAGCACCGCAGAGGAAAGCAGAAACUUCCAAGGGGAAAGGAAACUGAAAGGGGAAUUCCUUUACAAAUUCUGCUUCAGUCAGUCUACAAAAUAAUAAUGUCCUACAUGUUUUUUUUUUUAACAAGUCAGUUUCAUUGAUAAUGUUAAUAAAGCAUAAAUCCAUCCCAAGGGUACAAUCAAUGGCAUUCAGUAUAAUCACAAAGUUGUGCAUUCAUCAAUAUAAUCGUUUUUAGAGCAUUUUCAUUAUUCCAGUAUUAAUACUAAGAAACAGAAAACAAUCAAACAACUCAUCACCUCUCAAUCUCUCUGUGCUUGCCCUACCUUACAUAGCUGCUAUUGUUUGCUUCUCUCUAGUUUAUUUGUAUUUAUAUUUUGUAACAUCCUUACAUAUAUGCAGUAUCACCCAUAUUUGUGGGUUUUUUCAAAGAUUUAUUUAUUCCCCCUCCCCCUACCCCCCCCCAUUCACUGUGUGCUCUUCUGUGACCACUUCUAUCCUUAUCAGUAGCACUGGGAAUCUGUGUUUCUUUUGUUGCGUCAUCUUGCUGUGUCAGCUCUCCGUGUGUGCCGCGCCAUUCCUGGGCAGGCUGCACUUUCUUUCGCACUGGGCGGCUCUCCUUACGGGGUGCACUCCUUGUGCAUGGGCUCCCUUGCGCAUGGGGCUCCCCUGCACAGGGACACCCCUGCGUGGCAAGGCACUCCUUGCACGCAUCAGCACUGCGCAUGGGCCAGCUCCACACGGGUCAAGGAGGCCCGGGGUUUGAACCGCGGACCUCCCAUGUGGUAGACGGACACCCUAACCACUGGGCCAAGUCCGCUUCCCCAUAUUUGUGUUUCACAUGAGGUUUCACUAUGUCAAACAGUCUCAGGCUACAUCUUUAGCUUUCCUUCUAGCUAUAUACAAGACCUUAGACUUCCCCUUUCACGCGCUGUCAUGCCCAUACAAUAGUUCUGCUAGUUACAAACGCCAUAAGCUUUAACCAUUUCCAUUCAUUUCCAAAUAUUACAAACAACCUUUUAAUCAAUUCUGCACACACUAACCCUUGGCUUUUCAUUCUGCACCCUCAUUCUAUUUCCUGGUGACCUAUAUUCUAAUCACUAACUUCAUGAGUUUAAGGCCCUGCAUUUUUAAAGGACUCACCGUAAUUUACAAAAUGCUUCCACUAAUAAUGACGAGGCAGCAUUUAUUGAGUGAUUUACAGUAAACCAGGCACUACACUAGGCUCGCUCCAGCAUCAACACGCUCCUAAGAGCUGGAUUCUAGUAUUCCUCCUAGAUGAGACAACAGAAGCCGAGGUCAGCUGACAGGCGGCAAGGGCAGGGCUUGCGCCCGCAUUCUCUAGCUCUAGCGGCCGCACAUUAGCCGCACAACCCUCAAAACGACCUCCUUCGUAAGCAGGGCAAGUGCUAUCUCCACUUUGCAGAUGGAGAAAGCAAGCCUAGAAGAGGGCAAGCAAGCUACGUUCACACCACCCCUAAGAAAACCGGGUUUUGUGGCACCACCU
This is a long non-coding RNA of Dasypus novemcinctus (nine-banded armadillo), 4694 nucleotides long. The record is from Ensembl. Lineage: Eukaryota; Metazoa; Chordata; Mammalia; Cingulata; Dasypodidae.